GUGCUAGAUGGGGAGCUAGUGGUGCCCUGUAUCUACAAUCCACUACAGUAGAGUUGAAUGCUCUUUUGAGGAAAGGAUUUGUGCUUCAAGUGGGUUAAGUCUUGGUGAUGACGCCAAGGUCUUGUGCAACGGUUAAUCAUGAACCAUGUCAGGGUCUGACGACAGCAGCAUUAAGUGAAUCUAAUUGUGUGCCACAAGGAAACUUUGACCGAGCCACGCUUAA
Molecule: signal recognition particle RNA, 223 nt
Filed under: pig gut metagenome
Description: Bacterial large signal recognition particle RNA
Rfam family: Bacterial large signal recognition particle RNA
About the family: The signal recognition particle (SRP) is a universally conserved ribonucleoprotein involved in the co-translational targeting of proteins to membranes. Archaeal SRP consists of a 7S RNA and homologues of the eukaryotic SRP19 and SRP54 proteins. In most bacteria, the SRP consists of a 4.5S RNA and the Ffh protein (a homologue of the eukaryotic SRP54 protein).
Source: RNAcentral